RNAcentral lists this ribosomal RNA (447 nucleotides) under Triticum aestivum (bread wheat). RNAcentral's name for it is "partial small subunit ribosomal RNA". The record is from RNAcentral. Lineage: Eukaryota; Viridiplantae; Streptophyta; Magnoliopsida; Poales; Poaceae.
CUCCUCGAGGACAUCGCCCUUCUCCCGAUGAACGUCACCGACACCCCGAACGCCAUCUCUUGGCGCCUAGAAUCUUCCAGACGCUUCUCUACCAAGUCCCUAUACGCGGCCAUCGCGCCUUCGCCCGCCCCCGAGCCCUUCAGUUUGAUCUGGGAUAUCCGCCUGCCACUAAAGAUUAGGAUCUUUCUUUGGCAAUGGAUCCGUGGACGCCUCCCCUCCGGAGUCGAAGUCCUCAAGCAUAACGGACCUGGAGAUGGGCUUUGCCCCCUGUGCGGCACGGUGGAGGAUGCUAACCACAUCUUCUUCGCGUGCUCCACGGCUCAGUUUCUUUGGUCUAGUUUCUGCGAGACGGUUGGUGGACAGUGGUGCAAUUCCAAUUUCCCCGACCUUCUCGCAGAGAUCCAUGCCUCCCCCCUCGCUACCGACAUAUCCGUUGGCUCUGCGUAG